CUCAGGUGAUCUGCCCACCUCAGCAUCUCAAAGUACUGGGAUUACAGGCGUGAGUCACCAUGCCCAGCCUCUUGAAUUGUUUUCAAUGAAGUUAUACAUUCAUUUACCUCCUUGAAUAUUUUAAACAUAAAUGAAGGCUUUGGUACAGGGAGCUAUAAAAUUUUAAUUUCAUCUAGGGUAAAUAUAGAUUUCAAUUUUGAUUUUGAGGGCUGACAUACAAUUUUGAUUUCCAGGCUUUAUUUUUUGAGACAGAGUCUUGUUCUGUUGUCCAGGCUGAAAUGCAAUGGCGUGAUCAUAGCUCACUGCAGCCUCGACCUCCUGGACUCAGGCAAUCCUCCCACGUCUGGAGUAGCUGCAACUGCAGCUGUAGUGGUAAACUCCCUGCCACUGCUUCCUGCUUCCAGCCCCAGAGAUCAGCUAUUUAAGUCCACAGAAAUGUUUAUUUUUUACUUUGGAGUCUGACUGUGCCUUUUUUGUUUUCUCUUAUGAUUUAGCUGUCAUUGCUGUGGUGUUUGGAGCAGAGAGUGUUCAAUGUGAGCUUAUUGUGUCAACUGGUUAACUCAUAUGAUUAAAAAUUUUUGCCUUACUAAUGUCACAAGAUAGAUGAUCUGGUGGGAAACAAUUAGAAAAUAAAAAUAAAAGAAACAAUUAGAAAGUAAAAACUUCUUUUAUUGGUAAGCAAUUAGUAUUGCUUACAUUGAGAAAAUAAACAUUUGUUGUGUUUGCAAAUCUUAGUCCAGAUGGACCUUCUUUCAGAAUUUGUUCUACUCUCACUACCAGUAUGAUCAUCAGUCGGGAGAAAGUAUCACUGGUCUUGGCAGCUGGUGGCAGGAUGACUUUGCCCUGAUCAUUUCAAGUUUUGGUAUGAAAUGGAGAUUGUGCCAUCCUUAUCUACCUCAUUGGCGAGAACAUGUGUUAAAGCUCUUUGAAAUACAUUGGGAUGCUAUAGUAUGGUGAGUGCUAUUACUAAUGCUCCUUGUUUAUACUCAUUGGAGAGGACAGCAUUGUGUGGCCCAGGGAAAUAGUUUUGGAAGCAGGUGGAUCUGUGUUUUGAUUCUGGGUUUCCCUUAUUUUUUGUGUGAUCUUAGCAGGCAAGUCAGUUAACCUGACUCAUCGUGAAAUGAUAUUAUACUGUGUGCUUUUUUUUUCUGUUUACCUGGGAUAGGACGUUGGCUUCCUCUUUGUUUCCUAUCACCCAAACACUUCAUUAGUGCCAAAUUCCAUCUCGGAGUUAAAUGAGGGGACCUAAAAUGCCCAGGGCACUUUGCCCAUUAUCAAUCUUAAAUGUGGUUUCUUUUUCCAGGGCUUUAUCUAUGUGAAGCUCUUCUCAUAUUUGCUUUGCCUUUCAUUAUUUCUUUUUAUUUCUUGGGUAUAGGGCCCUAGAACUUGAAAGUGUUUCUGAGGGACAUGUCCAAGGGCCCAAGGGGACAGAGGAAUAGAUCAAGCUCAGCUAUCUCCUGUCCUAGCUCUGCUGCCUUCUCCGCCUACCAUCUCCAACCAUCCCAAGGGCAGGUGUUUGUGGUGAGCACACCUAUGGUGCUGGCACUUUGUCAUCUCUUCUUACUAUCAUAUUUACAUGUACUGGACCAGGAAGCAAUGUAUUUAGACUACGGAACCUCUGUGAGGGGAUAGAGAAUUCAGAUGAGGUAUGGUAGGUAGGAAUGUCAUUCCUGCCCUGCUGAGAGGUGACUGUGCUUGACAUAUAUGAAUCUGGACUUGGCCACAAGGGACUGGAAGAGGGAACUCUGAGACCUUGGCUGGUUUUAGCUUCCUCAUUGCUGAAAAGGGGUGUUGCUGUUGAUGGUGGCUUGAAGUCCAUGGCUGAGGGAAUGGCACUUUUGGUUGCUCUGGCUUCCCCUGUUCCAGGGAAGGCCCUGGUCCUCAUGCAGCGGUGGGGAUUGGUGGCUCUUUGUUGGGUCUCAGGGCAGGAUAUCUCAGGAUGAUAUUGCAAUCCCUUCCCUGACUCAUUUCUUCUUUAAAAUGGCCUCUUGAGAGCCUUCUUUGGCCAUCUGCUAGGAAUCUGACCAAUACCAAUUACUUUCUGAAUUUUUCUUGCUCUAAAGUCAAGAAACUAAGAUGGAGUGACCAGUAUCAAUAUACUUUCCUUUUCUGGUUUCUGGGUGAAGAAAGAUUAGCAUUGCUGGAAGGUGAGAUGGUUAUAUUAAAUUCAUUGCUUCUAUGCUAAAUCUUGACAAAUAUGAAAAGCAAAGGGAAAAAGGGGAGGGGAUCCUAACUCAAGCCUGGAAGCUUUUGAAUGGCUGGAAAAUCAUUGCAUUAAGACACAAUAAACAUCAAUCUGCAGGUAUGUUAUAAUUUUAUUUUUUUAAGAUAACAUUGACUGGCUGUAACUGCUUUUGUAUCGAAGCAGGGAAGCCGUACCCGAACUUGAAAAUCUUUCAUCUGUUAUCCCUAAUACAUACUCACAAGCACAUCGCAGUCUUGAGGAAGUACAAUUAAAAAGGGGGUAAUCCUUUUUUCAAGUCCUCAGGUUUAAUUUUCCUGAUUAUGGUAGAUUAUGAGUCAUUCUGGGUCUUGGUCUCCAAGAGAGACAGCGCCUUCCCUUCAGUCCCUUUCAACAGUUGUUUAUGGCAGUUUCAGCCUCUUUCUGCCGCUCGGAGGCUCUUUAUUUUUAAAGCAAGGCAGACAAGGCCUAAAAUUAUUCCAUUAAAGAGGGGCAAUUUUUGUAAUGGGACUUAGAGUGCUUUGCAGAAGUGCAGGCAAGUUUCUUCAAUAUCCUGAGCAUUAUUCGCUCAUUUAGUUAAAUGAUGUUUCUAAUUCCCUGGUAAUUACAUGUAAUGAGGCACUUUUUCUCUUCUUGAUGAGACUUUAGCUUAAUAUGAGAUGGCGUAUUUUUUUCUUUUUUUCUUUUUCCAUGGGGAUAAUUACCCCUUCCCAGGAAAAGCAGGGUUUGUUGUGCAGAAUAUAGCAAAUUAUUUUAUUUCCUGCCAUCUUGACUGCCAGUAAAUUAUAAAAUUAAGUUUCAGUGGCGCAUUAGCACCAUUUUGGAAAAGGCUCAAGACUCCAUUUUUUCUUUUUCUUUUUCUCUUUCUUUCUUCUUUUUUUUUUUUUUUCAAUUCAUGUACUGCUUUCCUCUGGGACUGUAGAGGCUAUUAUUCAUAGAACAGAUUUUUUUUUCUGCCAAUUCCUAGUAUUCAGAUGUAUUGAAGCAGCAACAUAGGUUUAAUUUUUCUGGAUGGUAUCCAGCGUAGAAUGUUCUUAUAAGCGUCUUUGUGUUCAGGUAAUUAUCAUCAUAAAGUUAAGUAAUAUGUCCCCUCUUUUCUCUGGUCUCCUCUCACUCCUCCUUUGGAUGUCAAAUUACCUAUUUUUGUGCAAUGCUUUAAUUAGGCGCAAAGCAACUAAAUUUGAAUCACAUGAAGGUGGUGACACCAACUAUUAAAAGGCAAGAAACUCAGUUAAUAUAGUCACUCUACUUAGCUCUUUCUGUUGUUAAAAAGCAAAUUCGAGGAAAGAAAAAUAUGGGGAGAGCAUCAUUUAAUUAAGGACAAUGUCAUGCUGAACUUUGGUUUUCUGGAUUUAAUUAUUUUUACCAAUUUUAAGAAUUAUAUGUUUGUGUGUGUGUUUGUGCAAAUGCACACUUCUGCCAUUUUUUAUUUUUGUUUGUGCAGAAGAAACAUUUCUUUGGAAGAAGCAGCCAAAUGAGAUGAAAAGAGGAAAAGAGAGCUUUGGCCGGGGAGCCAGGGGGCUGGAGUUGUAGGGUAGACUCCAUUUACUCCCACCUGGCUGUGUGCUUCGGGCAAGACAAUCUUUUUGAGCUUCAGUUCCCUCCUGUGUAAAAUGUAUGAGUCGCAGCAGAGGAUCUCCAGUCUUUAGAAACUUGAAAGAUCUUCCUAUCAGUUAGCAAAAGAACCAUGUCGUUGGGGUUAUAGCAAAGUAGCCCAGAUUUAAAGUUUGAGGUUGGAUUGUUGUUGUCAUUUUUUGCCCCCCACCACCUGCUCUAUCAUCCCUUGUAAAGAUGCUGGUUCCCAGGGAUCCAGGUGCCCCCAUCUCCUGUCUUGCUGAUGGUCGUAUGGUUCCUGUUUGGGUUCUACUAAACUUCUAGGCCUGGAAAGUAGGGAGAUGCCACCAGUGCCCUGUCCACGCAGGAUCAGUGUUUCAGGUGCGAGUGAACCAGGGUCAUUCGCUGCAGAGGGAGAUGCCACCCAGUGCCCUGUCCACCCAGGAUCAGUUUCAGGUGUGAGUGAACCGGGAUGCCCUGUCCAUACAGGGUCAGUGUUUCAGGUGUGAAUGAACUGGGGUCCUUCACUGCAGCCCUCAGUUUCCCUUGAGUCAUGGGUAGCCUAAUAUUUUCCUUUUCUUGAGGGCAGCCGGAGAAUUUUUUUGUUUGUUUGCAUAUUUGAAAUCAACAGCAGUGUUCUGAAAAUAAUACCGUCCUUUUCAGAUAAAUGUCAAAAGACUGAUGUGAGCUGAUUUCUUCAUGUUUGGGGAAUGGGGAAUGUUUACCAAAAUGAUAAAUCUUUCUCACUUGUAUAAUUAGCCUGCAAUAAAAACCUCCCAUCCGGAGUUUUUAUUUUAAGAAA
Molecule: long non-coding RNA, 4538 nt
Filed under: Homo sapiens (human)
Lineage: Eukaryota; Metazoa; Chordata; Mammalia; Primates; Hominidae
Description: HSALNT0360413
Source: RNAcentral